CUAAUUGAUUUUGGAAAUACAUGAUGCAAGGUUUCGGCCAUUGUCUAAUUCAUUUGUGGUAGCGGCAAUCUUUGUUGUGCUAAUAAGAUUGCAAAUAUAGAAGAGAUAAAAUUUAUACAAUAAAUGUAUAAAUGUUUGGAAUAUAAGUUGUUAUUCCUUAAUUUUUUAUCUUCUAUGUUCUCAUGAAUUUCCUAUUGGCUGUCUGCUCCCAAUCCAAAAUUCGCAAAACCACUUCUUUGAUAGCCAUGGAAGGAAUAAAAUGGAACUCAAUUGUGUGGUUCCUAGUAAGGCUUCUUUGGGGCUAUUGAGAACAUAUUCAUGGCUGAGUGGCGAUGAGAGGCGGUGGAGGAAGUUGCCCAAUUGCCGGCUUAUUACAAUAGGAAGUAUGCUAAAUGGGUGUGGUAUAUUAAUAUCACCAUUAAUAGGUUCAUGAAGAUGGGAUCACAAUACGUGGUCAGACAAAUUGGAUAAACUUGUUGGUCAAAAUGGACUAGCUGGUAUGUGCAAGUGCUUAAUUGAUCUUGACAAAUGUACGUGCACGAAGGAAAAUGUGUGUUCCUUCCUUGAGAAUAUUUGAGUAUAUUAAUUGCACUUGCUUACUUAAUGAUGCGUCAUGAUAUUGCAUAUGUUACUUAAGGGAAAGUUCUAAAGUAUUGGAACUUUAUGAAAGAAAGUAUGUGAAUUUUCAUGACCAUUUCUUCUACUAGAAAAUUGAAAAUGAC
Molecule: long non-coding RNA, 722 nt
Filed under: Olea europaea subsp. europaea
Lineage: Eukaryota; Viridiplantae; Streptophyta; Magnoliopsida; Lamiales; Oleaceae
Source: RNAcentral